GUCCACGCCGUAAACGGUGGGAACUAGGUGUUGGCGACAUUCCACGUCGUCGGUGCCGCAGCUAACGCAUUAAGUUCCCCGCCUGGGGAGUACGGCCGCAAGGCUAAAACUCAAAGGAAUUGACGGGGGCCCGCACAAGCAGCGGAGCAUGUGGCUUAAUUCGACGCAACGCGAAGAACAUUACCAAGGCUUGACAUACACCGGAAACGUCUGGAGACAGGCGCCCCCUUGUGGUCGGUGUACAGGUGGUGCAUGGCUGUCGU
Molecule: ribosomal RNA, 263 nt
Filed under: uncultured bacterium
Lineage: Bacteria
Description: partial 16S ribosomal RNA
Rfam family: Bacterial small subunit ribosomal RNA
Source: RNAcentral